RNAcentral lists this ribosomal RNA (983 nucleotides) under uncultured bacterium. RNAcentral describes it as "bacterial SSU rRNA". It matches the Rfam family "Bacterial small subunit ribosomal RNA", at positions 28 to 1009 of the family's 1533-position model. The record is from RNAcentral.
GAUGAACGCCAGCGGCAGGCUUAAUACAUGCAAGUCGAGGGGCAGCGGGAGUAGCAAUACUUGCCGGCGACCGGCGCACGGGUGCGUAACACGUAUAUAAUCUACCUAAAACUGGAGGAUAGCCCGAAGAAAUUCGGAUUAAUACUCCAUAACAUUGCGAGAUGGCAUCAUUUUGCAGUUAAAGCUCCGGCGGUUUUGGAUGAGUAUGCGUUCGAUUAGCUAGUUGGUGAGGUAACGGCUCACCAAGGCAACGAUCGAUAGGGGUACUGAGAGGUUACACCCCCACACUGGUACUGAGACACGGACCAGACUCCUACGGGAGGCAGCAGUAAGGAAUAUUGGACAAUGGUCGCAAGACUGAUCCAGCCAUGCCGCGUGCAGGAUGACUGCCCUAUGGGUUGUAAACUGCUUUUGUACGGGAAUAAACCCCUCUACGUGUAGAGGGCUGAAUGUACCGUAAGAAUAAGGAUCGGCUAACUUCGUGCCAGCAGCCGCGGUAAGACGAAGGAUCCAAGCGUUAUCCGGAUUUAUUGGGUUUAAAGGGUGCGUAGGCGGAUUUAUAAGUCAGUGGUGAAAGCCUGUUGCUUAACAACAGAACUGCCAUUGAUACUGUUGAUCUUGAAUAUGUUUGAUGUGGGCGGAAUAUGACAUGUAGCGGUGAAAUGCUUAGAUAUGUCAUAGAACACCGAUUGCGAAGGCAGCUCACAAAGCCAUUAUUGACGCUGAGGCACGAAAGCGUGGGGAUCAAACAGGAUUAGAUACCCUGGUAGUCCACGCUGUAAACUUUGAUCACUCGCUGUUGGCGAUACACUGUCAGCGGCUAAGCGAAAGCGUUAAGUGAUCCACCUGGGGAGUACGGUCGCAAGAUUGAAACUCAAAGGAAUUGACGGGGGCCCGCACAAGCGGUGGAGCAUGUGGUUUAAUUCGAUGAUACGCGAGGAACCUUACCAGGGCUUGAAAGUUAGCGACUAUAGGUGAAAGCU